CCUACGGGGGGCAGCAGUGAGGAAUAUUGGUCAAUGGACGAGAGUCUGAACCAGCCAAGUAGCGUGAAGGAUGACUGCCCUAUGGGUUGUAAACUUCUUUUAUAUGGGAAUAAAAUGUUCCACGUGUGGGAUUUUGUAUGUACCAUAUGAAUAAGGAUCGGCUAACUCCGUGCCAGCAGCCGCGGUAAUACGGAGGAUCCGAGCGUUAUCCGGAUUUAUUGGGUUUAAAGUGAGCGUAGGUGGAUUGUUAAAUCAGUUGUGAAAGUUUGCGGCUCAACCGUAAAAUUGCAGUUGAAACUGGCAGUCUUGAGUACAGUAGAGGUGGGCGGAAUUCGUGGUGUAGCGGUGAAAUGCUUAGAUAUCACGAAGAACUCCGAUUGCGAAGGCAGUUCACUGGACUGCAACUGACACUGAGGCUCGAAAGUGUGGGUAUCAAACAGGAUUAGAUACCCUUGUAGUC
RNAcentral lists this ribosomal RNA (460 nucleotides) under uncultured bacterium. Its description in RNAcentral is "partial 16S ribosomal RNA". It matches the Rfam family "Bacterial small subunit ribosomal RNA", at positions 338 to 795 of the family's 1533-position model. The record is from RNAcentral.